GCUUACGGCCAUACCACCCUGAGCACGCCUGAUCUCGUCUGAUCUCGGGAAGCUAAGCAGUGUCGGGCCUGGUUAGUACUUGGAUGGGAGACCGCCUGGGAAUACCAGGUGCUGUAAGCU
This 120-nucleotide ribosomal RNA is filed under the name Betta splendens (Siamese fighting fish). The record is from RNAcentral. Lineage: Eukaryota; Metazoa; Chordata; Actinopteri; Anabantiformes; Osphronemidae.